This 1707-nucleotide ribosomal RNA is filed under the name Salmonella enterica subsp. enterica serovar Thompson. RNAcentral's name for it is "bacterial LSU rRNA". It matches the Rfam family "Bacterial large subunit ribosomal RNA", at positions 1252 to 2925 of the family's 2925-position model. The record is from RNAcentral. Lineage: Bacteria; Pseudomonadati; Pseudomonadota; Gammaproteobacteria; Enterobacterales; Enterobacteriaceae.
GAAGGUGGCCUGUGAGGGUUGCUGGAGGUAUCAGAAGUGCGAAUGCUGACAUAAGUAACGAUAAAGCGGGUGAAAAGCCCGCUCGCCGGAAGACCAAGGGUUCCUGUCCAACGUUAAUCGGGGCAGGGUGAGUCGACCCCUAAGGCGAGGCCGAAAGGCGUAGUCGAUGGGAAACAGGUUAAUAUUCCUGUACUUGGUGUUACUGCGAAGGGGGGACGGAGAAGGCUAUGUUGGCCGGGCGACGGUUGUCCCGGUUUAAGCGUGUAGGUGUGUGUUCCAGGUAAAUCCGGUUCACUUUAACACUGAGGCGUGACGACGAGGCACUACGGUGCUGAAGCAACAAAUGCCCUGCUUCCAGGAAAAGCCUCUAAGCAUCAGGUAACAUCAAAUCGUACCCCAAACCGACACAGGUGGUCAGGUAGAGAAUACCAAGGCGCUUGAGAGAACUCGGGUGAAGGAACUAGGCAAAAUGGUGCCGUAACUUCGGGAGAAGGCACGCUGACACGUAGGUGAAGUGAUUUACUCAUGGAGCUGAAGUCAGUCGAAGAUACCAGCUGGCUGCAACUGUUUAUUAAAAACACAGCACUGUGCAAACACGAAAGUGGACGUAUACGGUGUGACGCCUGCCCGGUGCCGGAAGGUUAAUUGAUGGGGUCAGCGCAAGCGAAGCUCCUGAUCGAAGCCCCGGUAAACGGCGGCCGUAACUAUAACGGUCCUAAGGUAGCGAAAUUCCUUGUCGGGUAAGUUCCGACCUGCACGAAUGGCGUAAUGAUGGCCAGGCUGUCUCCACCCGAGACUCAGUGAAAUUGAACUCGCUGUGAAGAUGCAGUGUACCCGCGGCAAGACGGAAAGACCCCGUGAACCUUUACUAUAGCUUGACACUGAACAUUGAGCCUUGAUGUGUAGGAUAGGUGGGAGGCUUUGAAGCGUGGACGCCAGUCUGCGUGGAGCCGACCUUGAAAUACCACCCUUUAAUGUUUGAUGUUCUAACGUGGACCCGUAAUCCGGGUUGCGGACAGUGUCUGGUGGGUAGUUUGACUGGGGCGGUCUCCUCCUAAAGAGUAACGGAGGAGCACGAAGGUUGGCUAAUCCUGGUCGGACAUCAGGAGGUUAGUGCAAUGGCAUAAGCCAGCUUGACUGCGAGCGUGACGGCGCGAGCAGGUGCGAAAGCAGGUCAUAGUGAUCCGGUGGUUCUGAAUGGAAGGGCCAUCGCUCAACGGAUAAAAGGUACUCCGGGGAUAACAGGCUGAUACCGCCCAAGAGUUCAUAUCGACGGCGGUGUUUGGCACCUCGAUGUCGGCUCAUCACAUCCUGGGGCUGAAGUAGGUCCCAAGGGUAUGGCUGUUCGCCAUUUAAAGUGGUACGCGAGCUGGGUUUAGAACGUCGUGAGACAGUUCGGUCCCUAUCUGCCGUGGGCGCUGGAGAACUGAGGGGGGCUGCUCCUAGUACGAGAGGACCGGAGUGGACGCAUCACUGGUGUUCGGGUUGUCAUGCCAAUGGCACUGCCCGGUAGCUAAAUGCGGAAGAGAUAAGUGCUGAAAGCAUCUAAGCACGAAACUUGCCCCGAGAUGAGUUCUCCCUGAGACUUAGAGUCUCCUGAAGGAACGUUGAAGACGACGACGUUGAUAGGCCGGGUGUGUAAGCGCAGCGAUGCGUUGAGCUAACCGGUACUAAUGAACCGUGAGGCUUAACCUUACAACGCCGAAG